Molecule: ribosomal RNA, 497 nt
Filed under: uncultured bacterium
Lineage: Bacteria
Description: partial 16S ribosomal RNA
Rfam family: Bacterial small subunit ribosomal RNA
Source: RNAcentral
GACGAACGCUGGCGGCGUGCCUAAUACAUGCAAGUAGAACGCUGAAGAGAGGAGCUUGCUCUUCUUGGAUGAGUUGCGAACGGGUGAGUAACGCGUAGGUAACCUGCCUGGUAGCGGGGGAUAACUAUUGGAAACGAUAGCUAAUACCGCAUAAAAUGGAUUAUCGCAUGAUAAUCCAUUGAAAGGUGCAAAUGCAUCACUACCAGAUGGACCUGCGUUGUAUUAGCUAGUUGGUGGGGUAACGGCUCACCAAGGCGACGAUACAUAGCCGACCUGAGAGGGGGAUCGGCCACACUGGGACUGAGACACGGCCCAGACUCCUACGGGAGGCAGCAGUAGGGAAUCUUCGGCAAUGGACGGAAGUCUGACCGAGCAACGCCGCGUGAGUGAAGAAGGUUUUCGGAUCGUAAAGCUCGGUUGUAAGAGAAGAACGAGUGUGAGAGUGGAAAGUUCACACUGUGACGGUAUCUUACCAGAAAGGGACGGCUAACUACGUG